AUUGAACGUUGGCGGCGUGGAUGAGGCAUGCAAGUCGAACGCGAAAGCCGCAAGGCGAGUAAAGUGGCGGACGGGCGAGUAACACGUAAUCAAGCUACCUGCGAGACGGGGAUAACUUCGGGAAACCGAAGCUAAGACCCGAUGGUCUUCUAGGAACGCAUGUUCCAUGAAGUAAAUGGGCGGGAUCCUCCGGGAUCGCCUGCUCGCAGAGGUGAUUGCGGCCCAUCAGCUAGUUGGUAGGGUAAUGGCCUACCAAGGCAACGACGGGUAGCCGGCCUUAGAGGGUGGUCGGCCGCACUGGGACUGAGACACUGCCCAGACUCCUACGGGAGGCUGCAGUCGAGAAUCUUCCGCAAUGGGCGAAAGCCUGACGGAGCGACGCCGCGUGGAGGAUGAAGGCCUCGGUUG
This 408-nucleotide ribosomal RNA is filed under the name uncultured bacterium. RNAcentral describes it as "bacterial SSU rRNA". It matches the Rfam family "Bacterial small subunit ribosomal RNA", at positions 29 to 425 of the family's 1533-position model. The record is from RNAcentral.